GAACUUGAGCUGGAAUUUCUAUUUUGUAUACAUGUUUCUGCUCCAGGGACUUCAUUUAUUUCUGUCCAAGUGAGAUACUGUUGCACCUUUGUGAAGCUGAAAGUGUAUCCUACCUGGAAGAGGUGGCCAGCAAAACAUCAACUCAGGAUGUGGCAAAGUCUGUUGGACUCAAGGUUCUUGCGUUGCUAAAAAAUGUUUAAUGCUCCCUCUGAGGCAAGCUACCCGAGGGGCAACUGGAACUUAAUGCAAUGCGCUUGGCAGAUGUCUUGUCAGAUGAUUCAAAUUUUCCGUCAUUCAUCAUGAUAAACUUUAUGAGAAGGAUCUGUCAACAAGCUCGUUCGGUUCUUAUGGAAGGACUAUCAGAAACUGUCAGAUGGAUUCUUCUCUCUACUUCAAAGCUGACAAAGUAUCCACAAUUAGCAAGAACUUAUGUUCACUAUUAAGUCAUGAUUUUUGAAUGAAGAUGAGGAGGUAAUUUCAAUAUAGGUAAUCUUCUUCGUGGGUUAUUUAUAAGUCAUUUUGUGUCCCGGAUCGUUCGUGCUGCAUCCGAAGAUCAUUUAGUCCAUGACUAGCUUCGUAUAUUGGACUCUCGGCCCAGAUGUAAAAAAGAGUAGCCCAAUGCUACAUAUUUUCUGGAAUAAGCUUCAUAAAAAAGGAGUUUUAAUGCAGAAAAGGAAGGUAGGAAGGUAGUUUUACAAGCAAGUAGUUUUCCCAUACGUAUUCGAGGAUUCUGGUAACUCUACAUCAAAUCCUAGUCUUUGAGGAUUCUGGCUUCAGCAUCAGAAGCUCAGGACUAGAUAUCUUUUUAUUAUAAAUAACUUGUCCACUGCAAAUGUUGAAGCUAAAGCUAAAGAGUUUAUUGAAAUUUUGAAUUUUAUACUAUCCGUCCAUGUUUGGAACAGGCUCCAGCAUCAGAAGCUCAGGACUAGAUAUCUGGUUUGCGUUGUAUAUAGUUAUGGAGAGGGAGAGAUUUAGCUUGACACUACAUUCCUUACCUUAAAUAGUUCUCUGGAUGCAAUUUACCUUUGGAGUUACUCUUUCUGUUUGGCAUUUUGAAUUAUUUUGAAAUAAAAUUGAAACAUUUGAACAGAGAUAUUGUGCAAGCCAUUUAUGUAAACUGCAAGGUUUGAUUUUUCUACUUACUUUAUUCAUUUUGGAAAGCCGGUUUUUAUUCUUGGUAUUUGUACUAUGUCUAGGUUCUGUUUUAAACAGAACUUGUAAAAUCUAGUGUGGAAGAACUAUCACUGCUGAAAAUUUAGGAAGCUGGCUUGGGAAGAUUACUAUUGGAAAAAAUCAAGUUCUAAGGGAACGAGUGAUAGAUUCUUCUUUUCGUCUGUUUUGUUUUUGAGUUUACUUCAUAAACUUGGAGUUGGGUUGUCUGAAAUCCUCAUGUUGCAAUAAAUAUUAUUAUCUCAUCUUCUUGAUUCAAAUUUUUUUCUGACACAUGGAAGUAUAUUAUUUGUUGAAUGCUUUUAAGGGACUCAGGAUGCCUGUUGGUCCUUUUACCUCAAAGGUACGAUCCAUGGUUUAUUUUUUAUGUACUUGCGAGUCCAAGUUUAUUUCAACUCAAAAUGUGUUUGUUUUAGAUUUUCAAAGCCUGUUCAAACAGCAUUGCAUACGGGCCUCCUCACCCUUGGGCAGUGGUUCUGUUUAAGCAUUUAAGUGUUGACCUCAAGGAUGUCACACCCUCUUCUCUUCUAAAGGAUGUAGUUUGACAAUUUGAAGGAUCAGUCAUUAAGCAUCAACUUGUUACUCACCUUAUGCUGGGCAUUGCUUUACGAGCUAUUUCAGUUGCUCAUACUGAACCUGAUGUUGGCCAUAGUUCCAAUACUAAUCACCGACCCGGUCUUAUUCAAUCUUCUGCUCCACAGAUUGAGAUUGCAGGCCCACCAUUUUCUCUGAUCGGACCCGGCAGCAUAUUGUCUGGAUUAGCAAUUCCCUCUUUGAGAUCCCACUACAGCAGAGACCCCCAAGUUCUCUAGAUGAGAGUGGACUCCUAAUUUCAUGAAGCCAACACAAUACACCUACCCUU
Molecule: long non-coding RNA, 2032 nt
Organism: Salvia splendens (bonfire salvia)
Lineage: Eukaryota; Viridiplantae; Streptophyta; Magnoliopsida; Lamiales; Lamiaceae
Exons: 13
Source: RefSeq, a predicted model, not a curated record